RNAcentral lists this ribosomal RNA (254 nucleotides) under uncultured bacterium. RNAcentral's name for it is "partial 16S ribosomal RNA". It matches the Rfam family "Bacterial small subunit ribosomal RNA", at positions 524 to 776 of the family's 1533-position model. The record is from RNAcentral.
GACGUAGGGCGCGAGCGUUGUCCGGAUUUAUUGGGCGUAAAGAGCUCGUAGGCGGUGUGUCACGUCGGCCGUGAAAACCUGGGGCUUAACUCUGGGCGUGCGGUCGAUACGGGCAUCACUAGAGUUCGGCAGGGGAGACUGGAAUUCCUGGUGUAGCGGUGAAAUGCGCAGAUAUCAGGAGGAACACCGGUGGUGAAGGCGGGUCUCUGGGCCGAUACUGACGCUGAGGAGCGAAAGCAUGGGUAGCGAACAGG